CACACCGCCCGUCACACCAGAAAGUUUGUUGUACCUGAAGUCGUUGACGCCAACCGCAAGGAGGCAGACGCCCACGGUAUGACCGAUGAUUGGAGUG
This 97-nucleotide ribosomal RNA is filed under the name uncultured bacterium. RNAcentral describes it as "partial 16S ribosomal RNA". The record is from RNAcentral.